UGGAGAAACAAAAUCUAGUGACCAAAAAACCUAUUAGAAGAUAUUAGUCAUAGGUAACAUUAAUACUAAUAAUAAUUUAGUAAAAGAGAGUGGGUUCAUUCUAAAAACAUGUGUAUACAUAACAUCGAAAGAAUUUAGAAUCUUAAUAAUUUGAUAUGAUCAUAGAUGAAGAAAAUUGUCCUCGUAAUUGGCAAAGAUUUCUUAUUUCCUGGUAUAUUAAGAGAACAAUAUGGUAUGACUUUAUCAUAGUGAUACAAUAUAAGUCCAACUUAAUCCACAGAUCUUAGUAGUACCUUGACACAGAUAAAAAGAUUACGAAAGGAACGGUUUCGAUAGCUUUAAGUAGAUGUAAUGACAUUUCGUCUCGUCGGUGGAAUUGGAGUUCGUCAUCGACCGAGAUACAUCGUUGAACUAGGCGACCCCAAAACUGAUUGUAAUAUUUGUGGACCAUUAAGAAAGAGUAGAGGAAAAAGAACGAGAACGAUCCGAUCAAACGAUCGAUACAAAGAUGGACGGGUUGAUCGAUCGAUCAAUCGAUCGAGACGAUUCGAGAAAGACACGAGAAGAGCUUAGAUCGAAUUAGAAAUUAGGAUCUAGGAUCGCCAACAGAGAGCCCGGCUAGAAUACCAGCAGUAGUAGUAGCAGCAGAGCAUAUCGUCGACAUCGUCGGUCGACGCAUAUCAGUGGGCGGGUUCGUGGACUCUCCGCGUAACUAUUAAUAAAGCUCGGCUUGUCUCUUCAAGGUCGUAGUCAUGCCUUCGAAAAGAGAUAUAUAUUGUACGGGCACUGCGCGAUUUACCGAUAUAUAAAUAAGCGCAAUUUGGGAAAUAACAUGAAUUUGUUGGACAUUCGAAAGUGAUCUCUCACCAAGUAAGAAACGGGGAUCAUUGUUUUGAGAAUGGAAGAUCUCAUACGCGUGUAAAGGUCACCGUUAAGAUCGGGUUACUCAAACGAGAAGGUCUCUAUUCCGUGAUGUAUCGCUGUUUAAGCCGAGGAAGAUCGAUUUACGGAAUUGAUUUUAGUGAGUGAGUCUUCUCGAUCGACAAAGCACACUUUUGGUAAACAAACCGCAUGAGGAAUUUAUCGAAAAUGUAUAGCUAACUUUUGGAUUUAUAAAAAAGGAGGAUUAUUAAGAAUGCUAUUGGUCACGUGAUAGCAUAAGCAUAUAAGAAGAAAAAAAACAGAUUGAAGACAUAAUUCCACACACUGCCAAGAUCCACGCACGCCAAAAAAAAACAAAACAAAAGAGAAUACAAUCCAAUUAAUAAUAAUAAUAAUAAUCCAAAAAUCUCAUCUCGUUUACGUGCUACCUCUGAAGUCGACGUGCCAUUGGACUCCGGCGUGACAUCAAGUUUAGCGUCGAAGCAUCGAAUGUUCGUCGCCGCCCUUGUCAUCGUUGUCAUCGUCGUCGUCGUCGUCGUCGUCGUUGUCUCCGGGACAUUCCUUGGCAACCAAUUAUCCCAUACGGCCUGUCUUGGCCACCAGGAAACUGCAGUAGGCAUUAACAAGCCUAGCUCUUGUCCAUUCAUCGUUGGAAAUGAUGAAACCGUAGACGAAGAAGAAGACGACGAGGUGGUCAUUGGUGGGCCACCGUCGUAUGUUAACCAACACCCAGGAUGAUCCAGGAUGGAUUCUAUCUUAUUGGAGCAACCAUCGAUCCAUAACGAUCGAUCGAAGAGGAACUGGAAGAUGCUACGUUUAGAUAUAAAAUUUCUCCGUUCGAUUCGAUUUUCUCCAAUUGAUUGGACGACGACCUCGACGGCGACGACGACGACGACGACAACGAGGACAACGGCGACGACGACGAAGACGAGGAUUUAUCCCUGAGAAGGAGGAGUAGGAAGAGGAGGACGAGGAGGACGACGACGACGACGACGACGACGACGACGAAGACGUUGCACCGGCCAUCUGGCGCAAACUCGCACUAAAACCGCGGCGAAACCGCGUGACGAGUCCCCCUCGAAAAUAGUCCUCGGUCGAAAAUAGCCGACGCCGAGUAAGAAAGAAGAAUCAUCGGCAUUCGCUCCGGUACGCUAGAGAGAGAAAGAGAGAGAGAGAGAGAGAGAGAGAGAGAGAGAAAGAGAGAGAGAGAGAGAAAGAGAGAGAGGCUUCGUUGCGCCACAAGCUUCUCCAGAGCUCAAGAAUUUGCCUCGUAUCACCUACCGAAAGUGAUUCUCUCUCUCUGUCUCUCUCUCUCUCUCUCUCUUUCUCCUUUCUUCUUCUUCUUUCUCUUCUUCUUCUUCUUCAAUUUCAUCGUGACGCUUUAUCUCUGCGACAUUGAAGUUGAGCUUCGAUACAAAAACGUUAGCACGAUACCAUCCUCUUGGGUGUCGUAUCAAACGCAACGACGCAGAAAAGAAAGUCUAGCUCAGGAAGGAAGUAGAAAAAGAUAAUGGAAAGAGGAAAGAAGAUGAAGAAAUCUAAUGAGGAUAACAAAUGCUUAUAACUCGCUAAAAGUAGAAUUCUCGUAUUUCUAGGUAACGGACAAUCUAAGGUGUUUACAUUUAUCAUUCCUAUUAGAUGAUUAUCUUUCCUAAAAUAAAAACUUUCUAAAAUAUGAUAUAUAUACAUAUACAUAAAAAAAUCGUUGAUAUGUAUCAGCGAUGUUAUUUGACGUGAGAGUGUUAUAUAGUACAAUAAUUGUUGACUGUUCAGAACGGAGUACCAUUAUUUUUUUAUUAGAAAUUUAAUAUCUUUGAAAAUUUCGUUGGCCGAUAGAGAGCACCACGAUCGAUGUGUUGACUAUUAUCGGCCAUCAUGUUUCAUAAAGAUCGAGGCCUGUCUCAGGGACUGUUUUAUUAUUAUUAUUAUUAUUAUUAUUAUUAUUAUUAUUUUAUUAUUAUUAUUAUUAUUAUUAUUAUUAUUAUUAUUAUUUCUUUUUUAUUUAUUUAUUUUGUGGAUUUAUGAAAAACUUUCUCAUUUUAUUUUUUUUAUUUUUCCCCCAUUCAUAGAAAGUAUCAUGAGAAAAUUUGAUUAUUUUGUUUGAUUUGACUUUUUUUUUUGUCUUAACUGAAAUCUCGUCGUGGUAGCGACGGAAGGCGAUCAUACAGAAAAAGGGAGAGCGCACAAUUAUGAGUAAUAUAUAUAUAUAUAUAUAUAUAUAUAAAUUUAAAAAUUUCUUUUUGUUUAAAUAAAUAAAUCAUUACCGGGGCGUGCUCCUUCGUUCUUUCGUUUUUUUUUCCUUUCUUAUAUCGUUUUAUCUGUGGAACUAUUCCAACUCACCUGACUCCUGGAUGAUGGCGAACGAUGGCGAUGCCUUUCCUGGCUCGGCGACGAGGACCCAUGAUGCCGGUGAAUUCGCACACGACGUGAUGAGGUCGGAUGCGCCAGGUGGGUACGAUCACGAUCACGAUGUCCGUGCUGUCUACCACUGCUCGGUGAGCGACGAUGGCUUCUUUUAUAUCGUCUCUCCUGACUGGUCCCGCGCUCGUGUUGCCGCGACCUCAAUACCCGCUCUCCGCUAAAAUUAUCGAAACAUUUUGUUUAUACAUUUAUGUAUUUAUAUAUUCAUUAUAACAAUAAAUCAUCAAAACGAAAUUUUGUUUCAUUAAAAUUUGCAACAUCUCAAGGGGUUCUUGUUACACAAUGUUCUUUUUUC
This is a long non-coding RNA of Vespa velutina, 3598 nucleotides long. RefSeq lists it as uncharacterized. The record is from RefSeq and is a predicted model, not a curated record. NCBI's taxonomy places the organism in Eukaryota, Metazoa, Arthropoda, Insecta, Hymenoptera, Vespidae. The transcript is spliced from 3 exons.